Molecule: long non-coding RNA, 553 nt
Organism: Mauremys reevesii (Reeves's turtle)
Lineage: Eukaryota; Metazoa; Chordata; Testudines; Geoemydidae
Exons: 3
Source: RefSeq, a predicted model, not a curated record
GAGGAGAGGAAGCACGUGUGAGGAACUGGGAGUAACAGGCACAAGGAGCUGAGAGGACCUGGCUCAUGCAGAAGGUGAGCAGCUGCGUUGUACCCCGUGCUUCAUCGUCAGCUUCCGAUACAGUGAAUGACAGUGAUCUAGCCUGCAGGUGACAGAUGUAUGGAUCGCUAUGGCCAGGUCCUCACCCAAGAACAAGGGAUGAAGUUUCCUAGUGAUCAGCAGCUUCUCCAGUGUCAAACAGAAACUUGAGGUUUUGCUCCACUUAUGUGAAUGGGGAAGGUGAUAGGGUGUACAAACCCCACCCUGGCGAAGAAAGGGUUACUGAGAGUCUGUGGGCUCCAUCAGCCCUGCCCUGCUCCACCUGCAGUAGGAGUUAGGCCUCCCCUCUGGGACUGUGCCAGUGCAACCCUCUUACUCAUAAGUGUACAUGGGGCCUCUUCAGCCUGUUCUGAACCAGCAUAUGCAGUGCCUCUCAGGUGAUACUUCCCCAGAGUUGUUUGUCUCUCCAGGGAUUUUAGUUGCUGCAGGAAGCUCAGUCACCCUCCCUUCUGAG